RNAcentral lists this long non-coding RNA (1245 nucleotides) under Capsicum annuum. RNAcentral's name for it is "long non-coding RNA (CANN_LNC016815)". Lineage: Eukaryota; Viridiplantae; Streptophyta; Magnoliopsida; Solanales; Solanaceae. The record is from RNAcentral.
CAUCGGCAACCUGAUUUUUCUCCCUAAAGAAAUGAUGCACGGUUGGUCUUCCCAGCCUUCUUAUUAUUGACCGGCAUUUAUAAAUAAGAGGAUCAUAUAAUGUAUUGCCCUUAGACAACAUGUGAAUUACCUCCAUGGAAUCGAUAUUGACUUUAAUGGGGCUGAGGUUAAGCUGUAAAGCCAGAUUAAGCCCCUCUGUACAGCCAUCUGCUCCAUAUGAUUAUUGGAGGCAUGCAAGAAACUUUGGAGGAAGCCAAUAUAUCAACCCUUUUACAAUAUGUAUUUUCUAAAACAAGUUAUAAUAAAGUAUCUGAUACAUUAUUAUAACUUACUUUAGACUAUAAUAUGUAUCUAAUGCAUUAAUAUAAUUAAUACAAAAGACAUAAAGACACCAUUAAACUUUUCUCAGAUUAAAAAACACCUAAAGUUUGCGCGAGUCCUAUUACCCCACGAAACUAGUUUCAAUCAUAAUAAGUACACCAUUCUGACCUAUUUUCAGAGCAAGUGCAAAGUCACGGAUGAAGAGGCGCGUGAACAAGUUAAAAUUUACCCCCAAACCAAUAUAAAAUUUCCAUGUGACAUUAACAACUUGUCUUCUCCAAGCAACUCAUCUUCUCUAAAUAAUUCAUCUUCUCCAAACAAGAAAAAAAGAAGGAAUUCACAGAAUUCUUGUCCAUUAAUGUAAAUUUUUUUUUGAUGCUUCUCCUUCAUCCAUUCACUUUAAUCAAAACUCCAUUCAUGAAAAAAAAUUUCUUACUCUUCGAUUUCAUAUUUUAUCUUUUAUUAAAUAUCAAACUUAGAUUCUUUUUUAUUUUUCUGAUUUUGUGAUGAUGUUCAUCGGAGAUGAAAUUAAUUGAUCUGAAAAUUUCAGAUUCAGUAUCCACCUCAACUUCAGUACAAUCAAUGCUUGUUGCACUACUAUCAUUGCCUCCAAAGAUGACAUCGGCAGAUCAGAGGAAGAAGGUAAUUAAAACUGAUGUAGAUUCAAAGUGAUACUAUUUUUGAAUUGGCCAUCAACAAUGAUGAAAAAUGAAAAAGAAGAAGCAUAUCCAAGAGAAGUGACCAUCAACAACGACGAUGGAAUAAAGUCUUACCAGUAAAAUUCGACAUGAUUGCCAAAGGAUGUGCAAGCUAUUUAUAAUUUGUCAACCAAUUCUAUUAAAAUUGCAAAUUUCAAUUUAUUUAUCAGGGAAAUUCAAGGAAAAAGUAAAAAAGAGGGGAGAAGAGGAGCUUGAUGGAAAAGAA